CAAUAGCGUAUAUUAAAGCUGUUGCAGUUAAAAAGCUCGUAGUUGGAUUUGUGGCGUACGGUGUGUUCCGGGCACUUGUUGUCUGAGUAACCUGCUGUUGCCAUCCUUGGGUGGAACCUGUGUGGCAUUAGGUUGUCGUGCAGGGGAUGCCCAUCAUUUACUGUGAAAAAAUUAGAGUGUUCAAAGCAGGCUUAUGCCGUUGAAUAUAUUAGCAUGGAAUAAUGAGAUAGGACUUUUUUGCUAUUUUGUUGGUUUGCGCAAAGAGGUAAUGAUUAAUAGGGACAGUUGGGGGUAUUCGUAUUCCAUUGUCAGAGGUGAAAUUCUUGGAUUUUUGGAAGACGAACUACUGCGAAAGCAUUUACCAAGGAUGUUUUCAUUAA
Molecule: ribosomal RNA, 380 nt
Filed under: uncultured eukaryote
Lineage: Eukaryota
Description: partial 18S ribosomal RNA
Rfam family: Eukaryotic small subunit ribosomal RNA
Source: RNAcentral